UUACGCUGUUAUCCCUAAGGUAAUUUAAUCUUUUAAUCACUAAAAAUGGAUCAAAUAAAUAUUAAUUUAUAAACAAUAAAUAAAAGAGUUCAUCAUAUCUUUACAUCACCCCAACAAAAUAAUUUAAUACAAUUAUUAAAUCAUCAAAAAUUAACAAUCAAAUAAAUUAUUAAAUUCUAUAGGGUCUUCUCGUCCCAAAAAAAAAUUUGAGCUUUUUAACACAACAAUUAAAUUCAAAUUAAUAAAUUUAAGAAAGUUAUUAUCUCGUCCAACCAUUCAUUCCAGCCCUUAAUUAAAAGACUAAUGAUUAUGCUACCUUUGCACGGUCAAUAUACCGCGGCUAUUUAAAAUCCAUUGAGCAGGUUAUAUUUCAUAUUCAAAUACAAGAAAAGAUGUUUUUGUUAAACAGGCG
RNAcentral lists this ribosomal RNA (412 nucleotides) under Macropanesthia rhinoceros. RNAcentral describes it as "partial 16S rRNA". Lineage: Eukaryota; Metazoa; Arthropoda; Insecta; Blattodea; Blaberidae. The record is from RNAcentral.